GUAGUCCACGCCGUAAACGAUGUCGACUAGCCGUUGGGAGCCUUAGAGUUUCUUGUGGCGCAGCUAACGCGAUAAGUCGACCGCCUGGGGAGUACGGCCGCAAGGUUAAAACUCAAAUGAAUUGACGGGGGCCCGCACAAGCGGUGGAGCAUGUGGUUUAAUUCGAUGCAACGCGAAGAACCUUACCACCCCUUGACAUCCUGCGAACUUUCUAGAGAUAGAUUGGUGCCUUCGGGAGCGCAGAGACAGGUGCUGCAUGGCUGUCGUCAGCUCGUGUUGUGAAAUGUUGGGUUAAGUCCCGUAACGAGCGCAACCCUUGUCCUUAGUUGCCAGCGAGUAAUGUCGGGAACUCUAAGGAGACUGCCGGUGACAAACCGGAGGAAGGUGGGGACGACGUCAAGUCAUCAUGGCCCUUACGGGGUGGGCUACACACGUGCUACAAUGGCCGGUACAGACGGUUGCAAACUCGCGAGAGGGAGCCAAUCCGAGAAAACCGGUCGUAGUCCGGAUUGCAGUCUGCAACUCGACUGCAUGAAGUCGGAAUCGCUAGUAAUCGCGGAUCAGCAUGCCGCGGUGAAUA
Molecule: ribosomal RNA, 580 nt
Filed under: uncultured Gammaproteobacteria bacterium
Lineage: Bacteria; Pseudomonadati; Pseudomonadota; Gammaproteobacteria
Description: bacterial SSU rRNA
Rfam family: Bacterial small subunit ribosomal RNA
Source: RNAcentral